Molecule: transfer RNA, 72 nt
Filed under: Triticum aestivum (bread wheat)
Lineage: Eukaryota; Viridiplantae; Streptophyta; Magnoliopsida; Poales; Poaceae
Rfam family: tRNA
About the family: Transfer RNA (tRNA) molecules are approximately 80 nucleotides in length. Their secondary structure includes four short double-helical elements and three loops (D, anti-codon, and T loops).
Source: Rfam by way of RNAcentral
GUCGUUGUAGUAUAGUGGGAAGUAUUCCCGCCUGUCACCCGGGUGACCCGGGUUCGAUCCCCGGCAACGGCG